GGAGUAAAAGUCGUAACAAGGUUUCCGUAGGUGAACCUGCGGAAGGAUCAUUCAUAAUAAGUGUUUUAUGGCACUUUUUUAAACCCAUAUCCACCUUGUGUGCAAUGUCAGGGUUGAUUUUUCUCUCGAGAGGAUCAACCCCAAACAUCAACUAUAUCUCAACUCUUUGUCUGAAAAAUAUUAUGAAUAAAACAAUUCAAAAUACAACUUUCAACAACGGAUCUCUUGGCUCUC
RNAcentral lists this unclassified non-coding RNA (234 nucleotides) under plant metagenome. RNAcentral describes it as "partial contains small subunit ribosomal RNA, internal transcribed spacer 1, and 5.8S ribosomal RNA". The stretch from base 1 to 53 matches the Rfam family "Eukaryotic small subunit ribosomal RNA", at positions 1779 to 1831 of the family's 1831-position model. The record is from RNAcentral.